AGGUGCCAGCCACCAUACUGUGAGGGAGCUGAAGUAAGCCCACAUGAGGAAGAAUUGAGGUCCCAAGCCAACAGCUGCAGCUAAGAUCCAAGCUCUCAACCAGUACCAGUUCAUCCGUUAUGCACACUAAGAUAUGGAAGCUAAAAGAGGACUAAGAGGAUUCUGGGGAUAUUACAAGAUAUUGCAGACUAUCUUGUUUUCCUGGAAAAGGAUUUUACCUCAGUCGACUGAAUUACUUUUUUCACUGUGUCUUGCCACUCUUCGUGCAUGCAUCAAAGACCCUAAUAUGACUUCUGGUGGCCUGGGACUCCUUGGGAAAACAGAAAAGGGGCCACAAAUCCCAUUUUGGGAACAAUCUGUUUUACUCAUGGAACCCCUGGAAUUAGAGGUGUGUAAGUACCUCUCAAAAUCUGUCUUUGUCUUCUGGCUAUGCUUUUUAUGAGGCCCUGGAAUUUGUAGUCCUAGCCCUGUUCUUAGAGUGUCUCACUAGGAGGCGUAAUAAUCCAAUUAGGAAACUAGCCAAUGAAAAAUCUCAUAACU
This 540-nucleotide long non-coding RNA is filed under the name Homo sapiens (human). RNAcentral describes it as "novel transcript". The record is from RNAcentral. Lineage: Eukaryota; Metazoa; Chordata; Mammalia; Primates; Hominidae.